CUACCCUUGACAUGCUAGGAAGCUCGCAGCAGAUGUGAGUGUGCCCGAAAGGGAACCUAGACACAGGCUGCUGCAUGGCUGUC
This 83-nucleotide ribosomal RNA is filed under the name uncultured bacterium. RNAcentral describes it as "partial 16S ribosomal RNA". The record is from RNAcentral.